This 460-nucleotide long non-coding RNA is filed under the name Setaria italica (foxtail millet). RNAcentral describes it as "long non-coding RNA (SITA_LNC005507)". Lineage: Eukaryota; Viridiplantae; Streptophyta; Magnoliopsida; Poales; Poaceae. The record is from RNAcentral.
AGAUGCCUAUUGGUCUAAGCUUUAUAUCUAUGCUAUCGCUCUCUUGCUUAAAUUCACUUCCUUCCUUAACUCAGAUCUAAAUGGCUUCCUUUGGAUUGACAUUAACUUAGGUGUAGAAAGAGGUUAAAGCAUGGGCAUGGAAAAGGGAUUAUAUGGCGUGCUGGGCUGGAUGAAAGAAGCAACUACGCCUACAAUGAGAAUAGAAGGACUCCCACUAGCUGACAGAGAACUCCCAGCCAAAAUGAAACUGGACUUCCAGCAAUAGCAGCAAUGUCACUAGAACCUUUCAUACUGGAGAAUAACUAGAAGUUUAUGAGGAAUACAAACCUUAAGGUUUGGCAGUCAGACUUUUCUGCGUAAUUUGAAUUAUUCAUUUCAUUGCUCGAAGUUGGCUCGUAUUUCAGGUUUUCCUAGCGUAUGUAAUGUCUGGCCGCCCCUUCCUUGUUCAAGAAUUCCCGGC